This is a long non-coding RNA of Lytechinus pictus (painted urchin), 6908 nucleotides long. RefSeq lists it as uncharacterized. The record is from RefSeq and is a predicted model, not a curated record. The transcript has 2 exons. NCBI's taxonomy places the organism in Eukaryota, Metazoa, Echinodermata, Echinoidea, Temnopleuroida, Toxopneustidae.
GGCUUCAAAAGGAUUUGGAUAUUAUUACCCCAGCUUUAGCUGAGGAAGCCUUUUACAGCACUCGGGCAUUUCAAGGAAUGAAUUCCUGCCAGGACAUUUACCUCACCUGGGUUGGGUGCAGCACAUAGUGGAUCAAUUCUUGCCACAGGAACUUAAGCCAUGGGUGGGAUUUUAACUAACAACUCUCAAAUGGCUCAAAGACAGUAGACUAAAUCCACUAGGCCUUAAAAAAUGUAUAGACCAUUUGGAGUGUUGGAUAAUGCUUUCACAUCUUGUUUAGAUCAUUAGUUUGAUACAUCCCUUUAAGGUGCCUAUAAAUGAAUUGUUUCAUGAAUGAAGACUUCACUGAACAUACUCCCCUUCCAGAGAGAGAGACAGAGAGAGCCAUGCCCUUUGCAUUAACCAAACAUGUCAUUUCCUAUCUCCUACCACUGUCUGGCAAGCCAGCAUUCUUCUCAAGCUACCAAACCACCAUGGGGCCCCCUCGCCUGGAUUUAGAAACAUUAUUAACACAUCCUGGGAGGGGGAUGUCUUGUUGCCCUAGCAACUUAGAAAUUACAUUGUCAGGCAAGGUUGAUAUGUAAAGCUUCUUGUAGUCUGCAAUCACAGACCAUAAUUAGCCCUUCACUGCAAGUAGGUUCUGGCAGAGGUCUAAUGGUUACUUGUUCAAGUUGUCUGAAUAUGCAGCCUAAGAUCCCUGCCAAUUGACUUGUGUACAGAAGGCCCCUCUCGAAAUUGAAAAAGCAAGUUUUUUGUGCUAGUCUUGUGUGAAGACCAACUUGUUGAUAUAAGGUUUCAAGCAGGGUCUGUGCCUGCGGACAAAAAGUCUAGGACAAGUGACCACCUGGCUAUGCCCAUUGUACAUUAGAUGUCGAGCACAGUAUCAGUACACAAUGCCUGUUCAAAUUCAGUAGUCUGAAAAUGAAGUCUAUUUCAGGAGCAUAUCAUAUUUUGACAGAACAAGAGCUUUCAUCAGCAGACUAAGCUUUUUGUUCUGAUUGUUAUUUUUGAUGUCAUUAUUCAACUUUCCAACCAACAGCUUCAUCUAGUGCACAGAUUUGUAUUAUUUCAUCUGUGCAUGGGUAUGGAAGUGAUCAGAUCAAAAUUUAAUUUUGAAGCAGUCAUGGAAUUUGGCAUUCAGAUCUUAUGGAGAAAAUUAUCAAAAGAAAAAUGGUUUAUAUAUUGAUAACUAAGUUGCUUAAUAGAUGACAAAAAUGGCAAAAAAAACCUAUAUUAUUAUUCAUUUGCAUUUUAUCAAAGAUAAAAUUUAGUUCUUAAUGUGAAAUUGAAAGUGUGAGAAAAUUGUCUCCAGUGAUUUUGAAAAGCUCUUUACAAUGCAUCUUAGAACAGGUGUUUUUUUGUAACAGAAUAGAAUUCCCAAUUAAUGAUGAAUUAAUUGAGCAGAUUGCGGUUGAACUGAUACACACUGUGCACAGAGAAGUGUGUGUGGAACUGCACCUGAAUUGACUACUCGACAGUUUUAUUUCUUAUCUGUGGAUAUUAUUUCUUAUGAUAUUCUUCCUAAAAGCCAUGAAAAGAAUUUCAUAUUUUGUUUAUCUGCAAAGUCUUCAUUUUUUAAAUUCAUUUCAGAGUGAACUGGGUGGUGGAAGCUCUGGUAAACAAAAGACGGAAGAGAACAAAGAAUUAAAAGAUAUCAGAGAAAAGGCCAACGCAGCUUCACUCAAACUUGCCACUGCAGCUAAAGAGGCAGAAACAAACAUCAAGCAACUCAUGUCCGGUGUAGAUGUCCUUAAAGUUUUGGCAGAGACAUUAGCCUGCAUCGAUAGAAUAUCUGAAGACAAAUCGGAUAAGCCAAAGUCGUUUGGGACAGCUCUUUGAUGAAUCUUCAAACCUUACAUCACUGCAUCACUCAUGGUCUUUCAUGUCGAGUUUGAAGAAACCCUUGCUGUAGUCCCGUGUGUACAGAAGGAUGUAUUCGUGGAAAGAGAAAGAACAAAGAACACAAACUCUAGAAGAACAUGUACUGUUUUGAAAAUGAAAUGUAAUCACUUUUGUCAAAGAAAUAGUUGCAUUACGUACCGUUUGGAUUAUUGAUUAUUUUGGAUGGGGGCGACAAAAUAACAAAUCAAUUCUGAAUGUUUUUAAAGCAGUGCUAAGUGUGGUUUUCACGGGAGUCGCAAACUUAGGAAGUGUGUUUGCAAAGGAUGCGAAUGUCAAAAAAUGGCAAAGUUUCCCUUGCAACUAUUGAGUUCUAAAGCAGUUUGGGAAGUUCUUAUGACUCAUCUUGUGUAUACCAUUGAGAAACACAAAGAAAAUAUGAAUAAUUAAUCUCCUGAUUUUUGCACCCUUUGCAAAACACUUGUGAGCCCCAUAUACUGUAGUAAGGGUCUGAAUUAUUGUUAUAGGGCACAACUAUGACAAGUAAAUUAUUUCAAAUUCAAUGUUUAUAAUUCCAUCAUAUAUUUGGUAGGUAAAUUUGAUUUCAACUGUCCUCUUAAGAAAAUGCGAUGACUGGAUUGUCAACAGACAAGUAAAAAAUGCCUCUACCAUCGCCAGAUCGGACAGAUGUUGCACAUUUAAUUUCUCAAGUUUAAAAAAAAAUUCAAAUUCAAAUUAAAAAAAAAAGGCCACCAAGCAUGGAAUCCACAGGUAUUGGCAUGUGAUAUCAAAUACGUAAUACAGAAAAUAUUGAAUGGAUGAUGUACCACUGAGGUUACAGUAAAGCCCAAGAGGCUAUCAUUUUAAUGAUGCCUGGGCCCCAUCUUACAAAGAGUUACAAUUGAUCCGAUCAACCUCAAGUAUAUGGAAAGCCAUCAAUGUCAUAAUUUUUUCUUUAGGAAAUUUGCACAUUGUCCUUUGAAAACCAGAGAAGCACAAUGAAUUUUCAAGAAAACUAUAAAUGUAUGAAUAUACAUCAUAUCUAGAAAAUAUUUUGAACAAACAUGUAUUUUAGGUGUUGACGUUGCUGGCUUUCCAUAGUUGUGGUUGAUUGGAUCAAUUGUAACACUUUGUAAGAUGGGGCCCAGAAAUAUCACCAUCAGAGACAUUGCAUCCAAGACAAUUAGGUGACCCUGCCUAAGUCAGAUCUGUUUGAAUUAAGCAAAAUUUGAUUUAGUAGAUGUAAUAUAUGUUUGCAUAUUCUGGUCUAAAAAAAAAUGCCUUGACCUAUGGAGGGUCGACUUUAGCAGGGUAUUCUGUAUUGUAUUUUCAGUGCAUUAUACAGUUUUAUAAUACUAGUAGCAGCAGUUCAUCUUACAAGCUACAAACUUCUUUUGAUUUUCUUUAAUUUUUAUUUUUUGCCGCCGACUCGUGACUCUGUUGGAGAUGGCGAGUUUUACUUGGAAAAGGUCUUGAUGGAAGUUCAUGUUGAAAGAAGGGAAACCAGUUUGAAGGCGAUAGAUAAUACGUGGCAAUGAAAGACUAUGUCAUAGUGCAAAAAAUCUUCUUGCACAGAAAUAUUAGACUAUGAAUAAAAUAAUGGUCAGUGAUUGAAAGAAUUUUAUGUAGUUCAUUAUUCACCAUUAUAAUUUCAAUUUGCACUUCAAUGCCCAACUUUUUUCUUUUUAUUAUUUGAAUAAUUAAAAAAAAUUAGUCUUUCAAAAUGUCUCAUAUAUAUUGAAACUCCAUUUGUGUGAAGUAAACUUAGCGAGACUGUUUAUUUCUGUUCUCUUUUUUUGCUGGCUUUGGCAUUUGGCAUAGUAUACAUUGUUGUCGUCAAUAGUUUUACUUUACUUAUGAUAUAUUUGAGGUAGCAUGAUAGCAUCACCAAAUUAAUUGAUAACACAGGAGCAAAUCAAGUUGAAUCUGACCUAAUCUGAAGGUCAAAAGGUCAAUUUAAAGAUGCUGUAAUUUGCGCUACACUGCCAGCAGACUAAUUGCAGCAUACAUCACAAAUAUUGCCUUUUCCAGGGGCCUGUUCUCACAGUAACUUUAGAAGUCAAUGUAAACUCUGUUCAUGUAUACAUGUGGGGCAGUGGGGAAUGAUAAUCUGCUUAGAUUAUGAAAGCAUUUUAAAGUAUUCGUAUUUCUGCUCUCUCUUGUAAUUUUGGAGGCACAAAAUUUGACUGUACGUACUUGAGAAUCCACCUAGGUCUUCCAACUUCCGACUCAAAUUUAAUGAUGUCCCAUGAACUGUUUACCUUGAUGUAUGUUUUUUAGUAGUAUUUAAGGUAAAAUUAAAUAGGGUCCAAAACAUGCCUGUUUCUAAAAGAUUGUAUGUUUGUCUAACAAAAAAAUUAGGAAUUCCUUAUGUACCUGUUUAUAAUUAUGUGUAUGCUUUCAAUUUGUACAUAGUUUUAAGCUACAAGUUUAAAGAACAAAAAUAUAAUAAGAAUGUGCUAUGUUUAAUUCCACAAUUUCUUAUAAAAUCAUGGAAUUACUUAAGAUGAAUUAACAACUAUUGUGUACUUGUGUGAUAUGUCUCAUUCCUAAAGCAUAUAAGUAGUGUAUGAUAGUGUAUAUAAAACAUAUGAAAGCUUUACUACUGUUUUUUUUUAAUGGAAUGCAUUACUUACAUGUGUAUUAUAUUGUAUAAAGGCAUUUGGACAGUGUAUGCUGAUGUGCAAUCGUACAGUGAUUAUACUUUUUAUAACUGAAUUUGUAUGUAAUAUCAUAGAGAUUUUUUUUAAUUUUAUAAUAUGGCAAUUUAAUACUCAAGUUACAUUUUAUGUCUUCCACAGAGGAGUUAUUCUAAUGAUGUAUAUAUUAGAGUAUUUUUGGAACCUCAAAGUGAGGGUGUAUGACUGGUGUAAAAUCAAGAAUUGUCAUGGUAAUUCAAUUUAAACGAAUAUAAUUACAUGUAUGCAACUGCUUGAUAACAUGUAUUUAUGAAGAAAAUAAAACAUUUAACAGACUAGAGCAUUGGAAUACCAGCAAAAGCUUGUGCCAUACAACUCUGAUGAACAGAAGUAGUUGCUUUGGAGCUAUUACAAGGCUUUUGCUUGUAUUUUCAAGAUUUUUUUUUUUUUUUACUCGAUUUUACAUUUAAAGAUAGGUCAGGUCUAGACCUUUUUCUUUAACAUUUUGAUCACUGAAUCAUGGAAUUCCUACCCGGUUUGUACAGAUGGGGAAGUCAAAGGCCUGUAUUCUCCAAGAGGUUUGAUUGUACCAUGGCACAAAACCAUGGACUGUGAAGAUUUCUGUACAUAAUUACACCAAUUUCAUUGCGUACACUAAGAAAAAUCCAAUAAAUGCAUGUUUCUGGCAAAGAGUGCUGAAAAGCCUGGUAGUCAAUGAAUUAAUGCAUUUUUUAAAACCCAUUAGAAUUUAAAUAUGGCAUUUUUCUAGUCAUUAGGAUUUAAAUUUUUAAGUCUAGUGCCCUCUCUCUGUAAUGUUUUUAUUUUUAUUUGAGAUAUCAGUGUGAGCACUUAGUUUAGAUAUUUAAUAAUUGGACAUUAGAAAGCUAAUGACCAGGAUCAUAUUCUGAAACUUUCAACCCACUCCAAGCUUGAGAAGGUUUUUUAUAUUAAACAAGACACUGAGAACUAUUGAGAUAUUUCAUUUUGAUCGAUCACCCUUAUGCACAAUUUGUAAAUUUGUCCAAUGAAACAGUUUUAGUUUAUAUCCUUCACUCCAUAAACGUUAUGGUGCACAUGCAUUAAUAGUAAUGAAUUGGAAUGGUGACAUAAGCUUUAACAUGCCAGACUAUCUGCAUCACUACAGUGUUUAUUUAUAUCACUGAUAUUUGGUCCAAAUUGGCAAGACUGGUAUAUAUAUUAGUUACACUAAAAUAAUAUGCUAGCUAAAGUCAAUGAAAGGGCCUUUAAAAAGGGCAUCUAUUUUACUUUUGCUUCAGUUUGACCUCUUGCAUGCCAUGUUAAAUAAGCACUCGGUAAGAUGUGAAAGUCUAUGUAGCCUGCCUAGUAAUUGAGUUUGGAAACUCUUGUCUGAAUGCUCCCCCAGGGAGUGGGGAAAGUGCAUCUGAUGACCAGGGUAAUAGGAUAUCUGUAAUUAGGUGUCAUUCCAGUGUAUUAAGUGCUAUAUAACUGCCGAAUCUUUUUCUCUUUUUUUUUAGUGACAAUUGGGCUAACUUUUGAAAUUAGCACUCACACUGGUACAAGCACAACCAGGGCAAGUGAAGUUAGCAAAAGUAAUUGUUUAUUUUCAUGCACAGCAACCCAAUCAACAUACAUUCCCUGGACAAUUUAGGAGAUAUAGCUUCAAUGACAUUUUAAUUCUCAUGAAAUUUUCAUGAAAUCAUGAAACAGUUCAUACUGGUCACUGUGACGGUAUGAAUCAAUACAAUUCAUUUAUUUUCCAGUCAAAAACACAAGUCGAACAAAUACAUACACAAAAGUAAUCAGAAAUACAAAAAGAAGGGCAAAGCUUGUGAAGAUUGGCCUUUUUGGAAGGAUAGCAAACAAACAUACAAAUUCUAGUCAAUUUUAAAAUGAAAUUUGGAAUGCUAUGGUAACAUUCGAUAUUGGUUUGAUACAUACACUUGAUGCAUGUACUCUAUGCAGCUCAAUACAGUUGGAUCAAGCCUCAAGAAAUAUAAAAAGAUUGAUUUAGUAGUAGUAGUAACUCACCAUGCUAUUUAACAUCCAAAUUAUUCAAAACAAAGGAAUAAAUACAAACAUAGAAAAGAAAGAAUACCCAGGACAUAUCUGAGUUAAAAAAAAAACAAGCAGGGCAUACGUAAAUAACAUAGAUUAUAAUAACAAAUGGGCAUAUAAAAAACAUAUCUAUUAUUACCGAGAAUUAAAAAUAUUUAUAUAAACAUGAAAUUAUAGUGUUUAAAACUUUAAAAAUUCAGUCAAUGGGAGUUAUUAGAUAUUGACUAGACAUUAUUAUCAAGCCACUCUGUCCUUUGUAAAUGAUUUAUGCAGCCAUACAUGAAAUUAGAUUACAUUUCAUCACUUGUUCAUGUAUUUAUGAGAAAUAACUCAAUAUAUUUUAUAGCUGUUGCAUUUUAAAAAGAAUCUAAAUAAAUAUAUUUGAUAAAAUGA